Molecule: ribosomal RNA, 334 nt
Filed under: uncultured eukaryote
Lineage: Eukaryota
Description: partial 18S ribosomal RNA
Rfam family: Eukaryotic small subunit ribosomal RNA
Source: RNAcentral
CCCUUAGAUGUCCGGGGCCGCACGCGCGCUACACUGAAGGAAUCAGCGUGGCUUUCUCCCUGACCCGAAAGGGUUGGGAAACCCGUUGAAUCUCCUUCGUGAUAAGGAUUGGGGCUUGAAAUUGUUCCCCAUGAACGAGGAAUUCCCAGUAAGCGCGAGUCAUAAGCUCGCGUUGAUUACGUCCCUGCCCUUUGUACACACCGCCCGUCGCUACUACCGAUUGAACGGUUUAGUGAGGGCCUCGGAUUGGUCUCGGCCCGCUCUUUACCGGGCGGCGCCGUUGGUCGAGAAGACGCUCGAACUUGAUCGUUUAGAGGAAGUAAAAGUCGUAACA